Molecule: long non-coding RNA, 8157 nt
Organism: Camelus dromedarius (Arabian camel)
Lineage: Eukaryota; Metazoa; Chordata; Mammalia; Artiodactyla; Camelidae
Exons: 4
Source: RefSeq, a predicted model, not a curated record
GCUGUAAAGACAGCCCUUGUUGUGGAAUCCUUCUCAGGAGAUACAUUUACACUCUGUCCUACAGAGGAGGCUCCUGCCUUUAUAGGAGGUGUAGUAAGAAUUUUAGGACCAAGAAGGAGAAGCUUAGGUCUAUCCCCUUUGUACAUUUAUUUAAUAAGUAUUAAAUGUGUAAGUGGUUACCAUAAUGACAGGAUAAAUCAAACAGAGAUUCUGCUAUUAGUGUGUUACCUGUGUAGCCAGGAGAGACUAUGAUCAAGAAUUUUCAAAUCCAAGAUAGAGAUUAAAAUCACCAAAGUGAAUACAGAUAAAAGUGUGGGAAGCAAAAAAUAAAUAUCUUAGUUUAUUAUUUUACAUGUUGGAAUUAAACAGCCUGCUUAAUGGGAAAUUGCAAAUUUUUUUCCAAUUUUAAAGCCUCUUUUAUGUUAAUUUGAAUUUAAUUUGUAUGCCACUUGUAUUAGAUACAAUAUAUUUGUCUUUCAGAGUUUUUGUUUUAGGUAGUUUUUUAACAGUUUAACUGGGAAAUUAAAAUGUAUCUUUAGAAGUUACAUUAUCAGGAUGAACUAAUUAAUUGUCCAGAAGAGAAGAGUGAGAUUUUAUAAUCUUUUUUGAUUUGAUUGUCAGUGGAGGAAUCAGACAUCAUUCAUCUGGAGAAAUGCUGUUGGUUGCUGAGGGCUCAAUCCCGAACUGGAUGAUUUGAUUUAGAGACAUUUGGCCCAUUGGCUUCACCACCAAUUCGUCCAUCUCUGAGUGAAGGUUUAUUUAAUGCUUUUGGUGAAAAUCAUGACAGCCACAUAGAUUUUAAGGAGAUAUCCUGUGGGUUAUCAGCUUGUUGCAGAGGACCUCUGGCUGAAAGACAGAAAUUUUGCUUCAACGUAUUUGAUGUUGACGGUGAUGGAGUUCUCUCUAGGGUUGAACUGAGAGACACGUGGUUGCACAUUUAGAGGUCUGGAAGGACAACUGCACCGAUGAUACCCUGGUAAAGUCUGAUUGUAUACAUCUUCUUGAAUGUAAACUUCCAACAGGAACAUAGAGUGAAGAACUUUUUAAAACAGGUUGAGAAAAAGAUUUCUUACUACUUCUAGGUUCUAUAUUAUGCUACUCAAAAUAUUCAUAGCCAAAGAUGCAAAAUUGGGAAGAGAAUUUGCCUUAGAAAAUUUAAUAAGCUGAAUGUAUUAUAUUAAAAAAAUGAAACCACUGGAAAAUUGUCAUAAAUUUUUAAGGCAAACAAGCAACCUAUUUCUGUAAUUAAAAAAAGAAAAAAAAAGUUGACCGAAAAUACUUUAUACUUCAGCUACUGGCUAAUAAAAAUGAUACCUUCUCUAUCCUAACUACUGAUUUGGGUUUCUGGUUUUAAAGGAAUUACAUGUGGAUGUAUCCAACAUUGUAGUAGACACAUAGAAUGCACAUGACACCACAAAGAAUGGCCAUCUUAACUCUAGAGGAAUAUCAUCUCUGGAGUGUGAAAAAUGUUCUUGCCAAUGAGUUUUUGAAUCUACUUUUCCAGGUAUGUUUAAGGUAAAUGACAGAGACCGAGGGCAGUGGUAUCAGUAGUUCUACAUCUUUUCCAUUAUGUAGUAGUUAGACAACUAGACUACAAAACCAUAUAUUGUCAAAAGAACUGCAUUAACCUGUACACCACCUGCAGAUGGUAAGUUAGAGCGUGCGUGCUUCUCAGAGUCACAAUGUGCAUGAUAGAAAAAUAGAGUAUAGCUGAUAAUGUUUAUCUUAAUAACUCAUGAUAGAGCAGAUUGUAGACACAUAGAAAAGAAUUUAAAAUGUAAAAGCCAUUAUAAUUUGCUAUUUUUCUUUACUUUUUUUUUUUUUAAGACCCUUCCUAACAAGUAAGGUAGUGUGGACAGAGACAAAGAUCAUAAGUCGGCAGCUGUAAAUUUUUCACAAAGUAUACAAUCUUUCCAGUUAGGAGGUUAUUUUAGAUGCAAAUCUGUUUCUUAAUUUUCUUUUAUUCUUUCUUUCUUUCUUUUUUUUUUUUUUCUUUUUUUAAUUUAGUUCUUUAGAAGGUCCAAAAAAGAUUGAAGGAGAAAGGAGGAAAAAAAGCUGUCAGGGGUGAACAUGAAAUCAUAAAACUUGCCAGAUUUUAACUAUUUUCCAGUUAAAGUAGUUCUCUUUGCUCCAAUUUAAAGAAACAACUUAUAGUUUCCCAUUUUUCAUAGUUCUUCAUAAAUAUAUGUUGAUUUAAUAGUAUUUUACAGGGUGUGAGUAGGGACAGACUGGAAGUUCAAGAUUUGUAAAUACUGACAGGUAUCUAUAGAAUAGAUAAACAAGUUUAUACUGUAUAGCACAGGGAAAUAUAUUGAAAAUUUUGUAGUAGCUCAUGGGGAAAAUAUAUGAAAACAAAUAUACGUAUAUUCGUAAAGUACUGAAAAAUUGUGCUGUACACCAGAAAUUGACACAACAUUGUAAACGGACUAUAACUCAGUAAAAAAAUAAAAACAAGAUAAAACUGUUAGAACACUAUAAAAAAGGUAGUAUUUUAGAUUUUUCUUAUUUUAUUCUCCUUUUCUUAUAAAAGCACCCCUAUGAAGAUCAAUAAGGCUUGAUAUCUUUAUAUCUAUCAUGAUCCUCCAUUGUAAAUACAGAGUAACCUGCCUGUGACACAGCUAUGUUAGAAUAAAUGAAAAUUGAACUCUUCCUGACAGCUAAUAAUUAAUGUAUAUUUAAAGCAUAUGAAAUCUGAUAAGUCUAUGAUACCCAUUUAAAUCAAUCAGUUGCUCCACUGUCAGUUAUCAGCCAGGAUCUAAGUUGAUGUUUUUAUAAAAUAUAAAUACAUAUAAAAAUAAUAUAAACCUACUAUAAACAGAAAUGACUUGCUUAGUAAUAUGAAAAUUGAGCAGCUAUUUUUAUCUCAUUUAAAAUGAUGUCCUCAAUUACUUUAAGUUAUCAUUAAUUAUAUAAACAUUUUGACCACUUAAGUUUGUGUCUGAGUCACCUUGCAGCUCUUACAUAGCAAAGCAUUUUGAACUUUUAUAUUGCCUUUCCUAUUUUCUCAUGUUUAUCAGGGACUUGCAUAGGCACUAUUUUUUCUAGGACUCUAUAAACAGAUGUAUGCCUGAGAUUUUCUUUUGUGUCUGUGUUUCUAGCAUAUUACUGACAGAUUUUUUUGUUGGUUAUCAAUCUAAUUUUUUUUCUUCGUAUAUAUAGUCCUUUCAGCCCUUUCAAGUAUAUAUAUAUGUAGUCAGUUUACAAUGUGUCAAUUUCUGGUGUACAGCACAAUGCUUCAGUCAUACAUGAACAUACAUAUAUUAAUUUUCAUACUUUUUCACCAUAAGUUACUACAAAACAGUAUUGGAUAUAGUUCCCUGUGCUAUACAGUAUGAACUUAUUUAUAAAUUGGGAGUUUGAGAUUUGCAGGUACUAAAUAUUAACAUUACAUUUUAUGAUGCUUACUUUAUCCCAUAUUCAGACAUGCUUUUAAAACUUAAUUUUCACUUAAUAUAUAAGUAAUCAGACUUACUCUAAAUUGUUUUAUUUUCUGUCUGUUUCUAAAAUAGAAUUAGCUAGUAAAUUCAGUGAUAAAAGCUUGAAUUAUACUUUUAUUUUAUUUGCCAAGAUCCCACUCCUGGCUGACCAUUUUGGGUAUUUAAGUAUAAAGUAAGUAAAUGUCAGUAGAAUUAGGAAACCAUUCCUGUGGUAAUAUUAUUUUCAGUCCUUUCAAAUAAACUCAGUGCUCAAUAUUUUGCAGAGGAAGCACUCUAAACAUGAUCAGGAUCUUCUAUCUUGUACGUUAGUCAGAAAGCGUCAAAUGUUAAACAGUUUGAUAAACAGAAUAGUGCACCACACUGACCCCUACCUAUAUCCAUGCUCUAAUCCUGAAAUCUGUGAAUAUGUUAUUUUACAUGGCAAAGGGGAUUUUGCAGAUGUAUCAGGUUAAGGACUCUGAGACAGGGAGAUUAGCCUGGAUUAUCUACAUGGGCCUAGUCUAACAACAGGAGUCCUUAAAAAUUGAAAAUCUUUCCCAGCUGUGGUCAGAAAGAUAAGACUUUGGAAGAAGGAUUAGAAAGCUGUAAAGCUGUUAGCUUUGAAGAUAGAGGAAGGGCCAUGGGUAAAGAAAUGUGGGUGAACUCUAGAAGCUGGAAAAGACAAGGAAAUAUAUUCUUCCUUUGACCUACAGGGCAUACAGCCCUGCUGACAUCUUGAUUUUUAGCCAAAUGAUACCUGUUCCUGACUUGAACUACAGAACCAUAAAAUAAUAAGUUUGUGUUGCUUUAAGCUGCAAAAUUUGUGAUAAUUUGUUACAGCAGUGAUAAAAAUAAAUAUAGGGGAGGUAAUCCAACUUUAUGGAUUGGAGGGCUCAGCAUUUUAAAGAUGUCAGUUCCCCUUCAACUGAUUCAAAGAUUUAUAUGUGCACAUCAAAAUCCCCAACAGUUAAUUGUUGUUACUGUUUUUUUGUAGAACUUGACAAGCUGAUUCUAAAUACAUAGAGAAGCGUGAAGGGCCAACAAUAGCCAAGAUGAUAUUAAAGAACAAUGUUAAAGGACUUAUAAAACAAUAUUAAGUCUAUGUGAUAACUACCUAAAGUUAGACAUAUAGACCAAUGGAACAGCAUUGAAUUAAACCCUGUACCAUACAUGAACAGUAACUUUAGAUAGAUUAUAAAUCUAAUAUAUUUGAAACAUAAAGCAAAGCAUCUGGGGGAGGGUAAAGCUCAGGUGGAAUGUGUGCUUAGCAUGCAUAAGGUCUUGGGUUCAACUCCCAGUACCUCCAUUAAAAUAAAUAACCUAAUCCCCCACCAAAAUAAAGCAUCUAGAAAAUAGUGUAGGAGAUAGUUUAAUGACUUUGAAGUGGCAAAGAGUUCUUAAACCAGACAAAGCAUGAAACAUAAAAGAAGAGUUUUAAGUUGGACUUCAGUAAAAUUAAGAAUUAUUUUUAUCAAGAGAUACCAUUAAGAAAGUGAAAAGCUAAGCCACACGGUGGGAAAAUAUAUUUGCUAUACCUAUAUCCAACAAAAGACUUGUAUCUAGGGCAUAUAAAGAACAAAAACCAGCGGAGAAAAAGGCAGAACCUCAAUAUAAAAAUAUGCAAAAUAAUUGAACAGGUGAUUCACACACACACAAAAAAAUCCACAUAAGCUAUGAAAAGGGGCUGACCUCUUUAGUAAUAAUGGAAAUAUGUACUAAAACCACACUUGGAACACCAUUAGACAUCCACUAGAAUAGUUAGUUGUUAAGUGAUAUGAAGCAUUGGUGAGGGCAGCAAACAAUGGGGACUCUUACACAUGGCCAGCGGGAAUAUAAAUUCUUACAAAUACUUUGGAAAUAGGCUUUUUGAAUGAAAGUUAUAUAUGUGUGUGUGUGUGUGUGUAUAUGUACACACACACACAUACACAUACACACACACCCACACCCUAUUACCAAGGGUAACCCAUGUGUGUACCCUUCAGAAACUUCUACAUAUGAGCACCAAAGGACAUCCAGAAAAUUCUCAUAAUCAGUAUUUGUUAUACCCCCAAAUAGAAAAUGACCCAAACACUUGUCAACAAUAAAUACAUAACCAUAAGUGGUGGCACAUGCAUACAAAUUGUAUACUUUAAAGCAAUAAAAAAUAUACUAGUUUACAGAAAACACUAGUGGAUGAAUCUUACAUAAUGUUGAGUGGAAAGUACGGGACCAAAAAUUUCAAAAGCAAAAAAACCAAUCCAUGGUGGCUGAAUUUAGGAUGGUGAAUCCAUCAAAGGGGUGCCGUAGUAACUGGGAAGAAACCCAAAGUGGAACAGCAAUGUCCUGUUUCUUGACUGGAUGAAGGUUACAUAGAUGUGUUUACUUUGUGAAAAAUCACUGAGCUGUAUACUUAAGAUGUGUUCACAUUUAAGCAUGUAUAUUAUAUUUGCAUUCUUUAAAAAAAAAGUUUGCUUGCAAAAAAAGAUAUCCAAAGCCCAAGUAUUUAUCAGUAGGAGAAUGGAUAAAACAAAUGAUAGUAUAUUCAAACAAUGGAAUACUACUCAACAAUAAAAAAGAAUCAACUACUGAUACAAGGAUGAACCUCAAAAGCCUAAUUUAUACAUUUCAUUGUCAGGUAAAUUUUAACUCAGAAGGUAAACAAAACUAAACAGGCAUGUGCCCUGGGGGGAGGGGUGCUGUAGCCUUUGUCUCCUCAGACCUGUGCCAUUACUGGCACAUCUCGCAAGAAGAGAGGCAGGGCUCAGCCACAGCUACCAUCUCCUCCUGUGCAUAGUGCCUGGGCAGGGGCGGGGCUGAGGCCUGAAUCUGCACGUGGGGGCUCCACAACCUCCUAGGCAGGACUGAGACUUGUUUAUAGCCUGAGGCAGAGAGGAUCUUUCUACCCUGACACCUCAGAGAACUUGUGCUGCCAAGAGAAACAAGGAGCUAAGAUUUGGCACAGAGCAUAGGUGGGGCUGUUCCGCAGUCUUCCCCGAGCCCACCUACAGACCGCCUACCCGAGGCAGAGCAGGCAGCUGCACAGAGCAGCAGAGUGACCAGCACGAGGAGAGGGCAGGUGGGCAGCCACCCACCUUCCUGGCAGGAACACAGCUCCUGACCACGGUGCUGGGACUGGGUGUGAUCUGCCCACCUGCCUCCCCCUGAUCACAGCAUCUGACUGUGGCAUCAGGAGGGGGAGUGACCUGCCCGCCCACCGGGUAAGAGCUCAGCUCCUGACCUAGUGUUAGGAGGGGACACAAUCUGCUACCCAACAGCCACUGAGAGCAGCACAGAUGAGGGCGCCAACAGAAGACCUAUGAAACAGCAAGCUGAGUUCACGAAGCAGGGGGAAGAUACAAAGACCUGUCAAUCAAAUCAUUAAGGGCACACCAUCUCCAGGUUAAGUAGGUAACUGAUACUCCUUAAGCCACGGUGCCAGAGAGAUAUGAGCAAUGUGAAGAAGCAGAGAAACCACUCCCAAUUAAAAGAUCAAGAGAAAUCCCCUGAAAGCAUGAUCAAGGAAAAAGACAUUGAUGGCCUACUAGAUAAAGGUUUCAAAAAAAGAGUGAUCAAAGUACUGAAGGAACUAAAAAAAAUAGUGUUUAGGGAUAUAAAAUAUGUCAAAAAUGAAAUAGAAACUAUAGAGAAGAACCAAGUAGAAGUAGUAAACUCAUUGUCUGAGAUGAGAGCUGACCUAAAGGCUGUGCAAAGCAGACUAGAAAAUACAGAAGAACAAGUAUGUGAUCUAGAAGACAGGACAACAGGAAGCACCCAAUCAGAACAGCUGAGAGAAAAACAAAUAAAAAACAAUGGAAACAAUAUACGGGACCUACGGGGUAAUAUAAAGUGUGCCAAUCUAUGCAUAAUAGCAUUUCCAGAAGGGAAAAAAGAACAAAGGGGAUUGAAAAGGUAUGGGAAGGACUCAUGACUGAAAACUUCCCAAACCUAAAGAAGGAAUCAUAUCCAAGCACAGGAGGCUCAGAGGGUCCCAAACAGGAAGAACCCAAACAUACCCACACCAAGGCAUAUCCUAAUCAAGAUAGCCAGAGUCAAGGAUAAAGAAAUGAUCCUAAAGGAAGCAAGAGAAAAACAGAGUGAGUUACAAGGGAACCCCCAUAAGGUUUUCAGCUGAUUUCUCUACACUGUUUACAACAGCUAAGACAUGGAAACAGCCUAAAAUGUCCAUCAACAGAUGACUGGAUAAAGAUGUGGGAUAUUUAUAUGAUGGGAUACUAUUCAGCCACAAAAACUGACAACAUAACGCCAUUUGCAGAGACAUGGAUGCUCCUGGAGAAUGUUAUUCUAGGUGGAGCAGAACAGAAAGAGAAAGAGGAAUACCAUAUGAGAUCACUCAUGUGUGGAAUGUUAAAUAUAUGCAAUGUCUUGUGGUAACUCACAGCAAAAAAAAAAGUGACAAUGAAUGUAUGUACGUUCAUGUAUAACUGAAAAAUUGUGCUCUACACUGGAAUUUGUCAUAACAUUGUAAAAUGACUAUUACUCAAUAAAAAAUGUUUAAAAAUAAGUAAAAUAAAAUAUAACCUUUAAAAUACUGUAUAAUGAGAGGUGUGAUGUUCUAGUAUCUGUUCUAAGAAGUACGUUAGACACACAUAAGAAUAACCAAUGGUCAGAAAGAUCACAUGUUACCAGCUACCACCCCAUGCAAAUUAAUGGCAUUUAGGAGAUAUUCAUAUAUGUAUGUACAUAUGUAAAAUAUGUAUUAUAUAUAUGUAAAUCAAAUAAAAUAUUAUAAUCUAAUGUAAAA